GACAUCUGCUGGGAAAGACCGGGUUCGAAGCGACGGACACCUGCGUAGCCCCUGCGGCGCACGAACCGAUCUGUGAAGGCGGUGUGCUCAGUUCAGUUUGUUCAGUGUGUGACUGAAAGCGUUGCGGGGCGGACGUCCCGGGUGCAGUGGUGUGCUACCCCGCGCGCGGUGCGGCCUGUCUCUUCAUACGUCACACUGUGCUGAAUGUGGCAGGGGAUUGAACAGAACCGUAACCCACUGGGGUACCGCUUGGUCUACUUCACUCAAAAUUUUAUUUUUUAUCGUUUAUUUGAUGACGCCGUUAAUUAUAAGUCUGAGUAGUGAAUGCAUGAAUUAGAACGGUAUUGCAGAUAUGUUAGUGGCCUAAUUUGAGAUUUCUGAGGUCUAAUUAUCUCUUACAUAAUAUAUAAAGGAACUCAGUUCGCACCUCACAGAGAACAUAACUCGUCUCCAUUAGAAACGCCGAUCGGUAAUGCUGUUUUGGGAAUCAUAGGGAAACGUUUAAAGCAGACGGUAUAUGUGUUUUGCGGGUUGCAGCUGCGUCGGAACACGUUCGCGGUUGCGUAGAUACGAGACUCGGGUGUGAAUUUAGUGAACAAGAACAAUAUUCUGCUGGAAUAAGAAGCAGGAUCGGUAUGGAUUUGGACGCGAUCUUGCCCGACGUAGGGGAGUUCGGCUCGUACCAGCAGCUGCUUCUCUGGUUUGUCCUUCUCCCCGGGGUACUGCCCUGCGGGUUUCACGCCUACAAUCAACUGUUCAUGGCAGCGAGGCCUGAUCACUGGUGCCGCGUGCCUCAACUCGACGUAUUAGCAAACAUCAGCAUUGAACUCGCGAAGAA
Long non-coding RNA from Cryptotermes secundus, 838 nucleotides. RefSeq lists it as uncharacterized. The record is from RefSeq and is a predicted model, not a curated record. NCBI's taxonomy places the organism in Eukaryota, Metazoa, Arthropoda, Insecta, Blattodea, Kalotermitidae. The transcript is spliced from 3 exons.